UCUAGAGGCUUCGUCAAUGCCCGAAAGGGUGAACGAGCGACGCCGCGUGCGGGAUGAAGGCUUUCGGGUCGUAAACCGCUUUUGUUUGGGAAGAAUGCCUGUGUCGUGAACAUGGGAGGGACGGUACCAGACGAAUAAGCCUCGGCUAACUCCGUGCCAGCAGCCGCGGUAAGACGGAGGAGGCAAGCGUUGUUCGGAAUUAUUGGGCGUAAAGGGCUCGUAGGCGGACCAGCAAGUCUGGCGUGAAAUCUCCACCGCUCACCGGGGAGAGGUCGCUGGAAACUGCUGGUCUGGAGUUUGGCAGAGGGUCGUGGAAUUCCAAGUGUAGCGGUGGAAUGCGUAGAUAUUUGGAAGAACACCUGUGGCGAAGGCGGCGACCUGGGCCAAAACUGACGCUGAGGAGCGAAAGCUAGGGGAGCAAACGGG
RNAcentral lists this ribosomal RNA (426 nucleotides) under uncultured bacterium. RNAcentral's name for it is "bacterial SSU rRNA". It matches the Rfam family "Bacterial small subunit ribosomal RNA", at positions 355 to 776 of the family's 1533-position model. The record is from RNAcentral.